AAAAGAUCAGAGGUUCAAGUAAUGAAAUGGAGCAUAAGAUUAAGGCCUGGAAGAUUUUUCACAGUUCCUGAGGAACUAAGAGCACCGUAUGAGUCCCAAAAUGGUGAUGCAGUUAUGGAGGCAAUUGUAAAGACGCGUAACGGUUCGGUUUUG
Long non-coding RNA from Humulus lupulus (European hop), 153 nucleotides. RefSeq lists it as uncharacterized. The record is from RefSeq and is a predicted model, not a curated record. The transcript is spliced from 2 exons. Lineage: Eukaryota; Viridiplantae; Streptophyta; Magnoliopsida; Rosales; Cannabaceae.